GCAUAUCAAUAAGCGGAGGAAAAGAAACCAACUGGGAUUGCCUCAGUAACGGCGAGUGAAGCGGCAGAAGCUCAAAUUUGAAAUCUGGCCUCUUUGGGGGUCCGAGUUGUAAUUUGCAGAGGACACUUCGGGUGCGGCCGCGGCCUAAGUCCCCUGGAACGGGGCGUCGCAGAGGGUGAGAAUCCCGUCUUGGGCCGUGGGCCUGCCCCGUGUGAAGUUCCUUCGACGAGUCGAGUUGUUUGGGAAUGCAGCUCUAAGUGGGUGGUAAAUUUCAUCUAAGGCUAAAUACUGGCGGGAGACCGAUAGCGCACAAGUAGAGUGAUCGAAAGGUUAAAAGCACCUUGAAAAGGGAGUUAAAUAGCACGUGAAAUUGUUGAAAGGGAAGCGCUGGCAGCCAGACACGGACUCGGGGGCUCAGCGGGCAUGCGUGCCCGUGCACUCCCCCGCGGUCCGGGCCAGCAUCGGUUUCGGCGGCCGGUCAAAGGCCCCGGGAAGGUAUCGUCCUCCGGGACGACUUACAGCCCGGGGUGCAAUGCGGCCAGCCGGGACCGAGGUACGCGCUCCGGCACGGAUGCUGGCGUAAUGGCUGUCAGCGGCCCGUCUUGAAACACGGACC
This 616-nucleotide ribosomal RNA is filed under the name Nannizziopsis pluriseptata. RNAcentral's name for it is "eukaryotic LSU rRNA". It matches the Rfam family "Eukaryotic large subunit ribosomal RNA", at positions 38 to 667 of the family's 3401-position model. The record is from RNAcentral. Lineage: Eukaryota; Fungi; Ascomycota; Eurotiomycetes; Onygenales; Nannizziopsiaceae.